UGUUUUUCGUUCGAGUGAGAUACCUCCU
RNAcentral lists this small RNA (28 nucleotides) under Bombyx mori (domestic silkworm). Its description in RNAcentral is "ovarian small RNA-36289". The record is from RNAcentral. Lineage: Eukaryota; Metazoa; Arthropoda; Insecta; Lepidoptera; Bombycidae.